AACGAACGCUGGCGGCAUGCCUAACACAUGCAAGUCGAACGAGACCUUCGGGUCUAGUGGCGCACGGGUGCGUAACGCGUGGGAACCUGCCCUUAGGUUCGGAAUAACUCCCCGAAAGGGGUGCUAAUACCGGAUAAUGUCUUCGGACCAAAGAUUUAUCGCCUUUGGAUGGGCCCGCGUUGGAUUAGCUAGUUGGUAGGGUAAAAGCCUACCAAGGCGACGAUCCAUAGCUGGUCUGAGAGGAUGAUCAGCCACACUGGGACUGAGACACGGCCCAGACUCCUACGGGAAGCAGCAGUAGGGAAUAUUGGACAAUGGGCGAAAGCCUGAUCCAGCAAUGCCGCGUGAGUGAUGAAGGCCUUAGGGUUGUAAAGCUCUUUUACCCGGGAUGAUAAUGACAGUACCGGGAGAAUAAGCUCCGGCUAACUCCGUG
Molecule: ribosomal RNA, 433 nt
Filed under: uncultured bacterium
Lineage: Bacteria
Description: partial 16S ribosomal RNA
Rfam family: Bacterial small subunit ribosomal RNA
Source: RNAcentral